GAUGAACGCUGGCGGCGUGCCUAACACAUGCAAGUCGAGCGGACAGAUCCGGCUUUUGUUCGUUUCACGAUAGGGGCAGGGGGGUGAGUCACACGAGUAUACCCUAUCUAUAAGACUGGUAUCAUUACGGGAAAGCGGCUCACAUCCCGGAUAAGAUGUUGAACCGCGGGGUUCUUCGGAGAAAGGCGGCUGUGCUGGAACUAAUCGCGGGUCCCCAGCUGUAUUAGCUAGUUGGUGGGGUAACGGCUCACCACGGCUACGCUACGUGGCCGACCUGACAGGGGGAUCGGCCACACUGGAACUGAGACACGGUCCAGACGCCUACGGGAGGCAGCAGUAGGGAAUCGUCGGCAAUGGGCGAAAGCCUGACGCAGCAACGCCGCGUGUGUGAUGAAGGUCUUCGGAUCGUAAAGCCCUGUUAUUAGGGAAGAACAGAUGUGUACUGAGACGUGGCGGUCGUGACGGUACCUAAUCAAAAAGCAACGGCUAACUACGUG
This 497-nucleotide ribosomal RNA is filed under the name uncultured bacterium. RNAcentral's name for it is "partial 16S ribosomal RNA". It matches the Rfam family "Bacterial small subunit ribosomal RNA", at positions 28 to 507 of the family's 1533-position model. The record is from RNAcentral.